Molecule: ribosomal RNA, 440 nt
Filed under: uncultured bacterium
Lineage: Bacteria
Description: partial 16S ribosomal RNA
Rfam family: Bacterial small subunit ribosomal RNA
Source: RNAcentral
CCUACGGGUGGCAGCAGUGGGGAAUAUUGCACAAUGGGGGAAACCCUGAUGCAGCGACGCCGCGUGGAGGAAGAAGGCUUUCGGGUUGUAAAGUACUUUCAGUAGGGAAGAAAAUGACGGUAUCUAACGAAUAAGCACCGGCUAACUACGUGCCAGCAGCCGCGGUAAUACGGAGGGUGCAAGCGUUACUCGGAAUUACUGGGCGUAAAGAGAGCGUAGGCGGGCUAGCAAGUCAGAUGUGAAAUCCUAUGGCUUAACCACCGGACUGCACUUGAAACUGUUAAUCUGGAGUGUGGGAGAGGUAGGUGGAAUUCCUGGUGUAGGGGUGAAAUCCGUAGAGAUCAGGAGGAAUACUAGUUGCGAAGGCGACCUACUGGACCAUAACUGACGCUGAUGCGCGAAAGCGUGGGGAGCAAACAGGAUUAGAUACCCAGGUAGUC